Molecule: long non-coding RNA, 220 nt
Filed under: Gossypium raimondii (Peruvian cotton)
Lineage: Eukaryota; Viridiplantae; Streptophyta; Magnoliopsida; Malvales; Malvaceae
Description: long non-coding RNA (GRAI_LNC002030)
Source: RNAcentral
GUCUUAUCAAUAAAUUUAAUAAAUAUUAAUUUUUUUUCUAUCCAUUUAGGGUGUUUGACGAAUAAUACGAAUUUAAAAACUAAAAAUAAAAUGAAAAUUAAAUAGAUAACUAAAAUAAUUUUUUUAUAAAAUUGAAAGUUUAAAUAAAACAUUAUAUUUUUAAUUUACGAUACACGAACCAACAUCUCCACCGUACCCCACCAAAAAAAAAAAAAAAAAA